UCCGGCGACGCGCCGCCCCCACCUGCCGGUGCCGCACCGCCCCCCACCUCCCGGCCACGCACCGCCCCACACCUCCUAAGCGAGGCCCGCCCCAUACUCCGACUGGCCAAGCGCCACCGCACCACCGGCCUGCUCACUGGCGAGGCCCUCCUCCCCCACUGCCGCCAUGGCCGUUCGACGCCAUCACCGCAGGCCAUUCGAUGCCACCAUCGCAUGCCGUUCAUCACGGCAGCAACCUGGAUCCGCCCUGCUCCCUUUCCCAGCGCAUCGCCGCCGACCGGCUCCCUCCCCUAGAGUGUCGUUGCGGCCCCAGCCCCACUUCCUUGCCGUGGCACAGCGCCGUCGACUGCGCCCUUCCCUUUCUUCCCCUAGUGCCUCGUGAUGGAAUCCAAGGGAGGGCCAGGCCGUUCACAGCCGCCACCCCCCUCAGUCCAUUCAGCACCGCCAACCAAGGCCGUGCUCCCCUGCCCCCAGCUCACGCCUCCGGUCCCAUGCAGUCCCCAGCACCACCGUCUCGACGUGCCGUCACGCUGUUUUACACGGGAGGUAUUGGCCUCCUUCAUCCGCCGGAUUCGACCAUCCCCUUUUGUUCACCUCCGCCACCCAAGGCCGUUCACCACUGCCACCAGUUCCCGUUCAACACCACCGGCGCAAUCUCACGUGUCAACGACGCCCCUGUCUACCCCACACGAAGCUUCAACAGAGUUCAAGACAGAUUAUCAUCUAUCCAAUACAGACGGAAAAUAGAGUUGGGAGUGGACGACCUUGAGCUUGUCCAACCACCUUCAUUGUGCUUCUCCAGUGCGUUCAUGUGCGAAUUGUGUAUCGCACAGUACAUGUAUUACUACUAGGAAUGUUCACAAAUCAGAACUCAAAGAAGUAUUGACAUCACAACUACUGUAUAUUCAAGGAGUCGGGUUUUGCUCCUGCAUCACCUCGUCUCCUCCGUUCGAAAAAAGCAUCAGAUAAGUUCACACUAUGGUUUCGCUCUUUCGUAUAAUUGAGUCCAGACUCCUUCGGUUUUUGUUCCAUAGAAAUUAAAGAAACCUGUAGAAGUUUGGGGUAUAAAAUUCUAUAAGUUCAAAACCGGGAAACUAGUAAGUUCAGACAAAAUUAAAACUGUCAAAGAACGUGAGAGUUUUUGUCAAAGAACCGAGGCUUCCCCACGCCAGUACAAACUUUUAAAAUGUGUGGAUUUUGUCAAAGCAAAAACUGAAUGGGUGGCAAGAUGAAUGUACUUGUUAUUAAAAGUUUCCUUUUCAACUUCUCCUCUUAAUAUACAUGAACUUGAAUAUCUUUUUAACCAGUUAAAUAUAUAGGGUUGGCAAGACGACUAUAGUUGUUAUAGAAAAAAAAGUACAUUUUUCUUAAAAAAGUUUCUGUUUGAACUUCUCCAAUUAAUAUACAUGAACUCAAUUAUCUUUUUAACAUGUACUCACAUGAGCUCGUUUGGAUUUUUGUGUAUACUUGUAACACAAUCAGUUCAGAUCUCGAGAGACCGUAAGUUUAGUCGGCCUUGGCAUCACGAACGGGUUCAGUUCGAUCUCGCAUAGUGGGCAUGUCCCUGAUGGUGUGUCCGUCAGUUCUACUCGCACGAGUGGACGUCAGAUCACGCAAGUGGGAAGGUCCCCGAUGUAUAUUCAGUUCAACAUCGGGUGCUUCUUCAGUUCAUCGUACUGUGCACUUCAUCUUGCAGGUUUUUUCCCCGUGGAUCCAGCACCUGUUCCUUGUGACCUGUAGCAUCAGGAGACACGAGGUCACCUCCGGUGCCGCUGGUCACGUCAACGCCGUUAAAAAAUGGUGGUCAGUCCAGCUCCUGCAACCAAUACAGGUCGUUGCCCCUUUUGCCACAACGACAGCAGCACAAACACGAAUGUGGUCGUCCUCAACCAGUUCCUCACGAGGCCUCCGCGCAAGCCCUCUCAUGUAUGCUUACACCAAAAGUGCUUACUUGAAGGGGUAGGCAUGGUGCUGAUACUAAAAAAUGGAUGAGUAAUCACAGAGACCAUCAUGGAUGACGACAGGCCUACAGCUACUAUGGUUUUAGUCAAGUGUUUCAGAAAUGCGCAGUACUACUUUGUAUCUGUCACUCUUUGUCAGGGGAAGGUGACUAAAGCUCCAUAUUGCAAUUUCACUAAGCUAUCCGGAUUUCAUUUAGUGUUUGAAAUUAAUUACUUUCUUGUCCAGUCAUACUAGUACUGAUGAAAUAUCAAGUUGACAUUGUGCUCGGCCAUAGGUCCGCCCUUUGUCUCUCCCUUCGGUUCAAGGAGCAGCAACAGCUGGCCUGCAGUGCCGCCAUCUGAAGACAGGGGAGAUGUCCGUAAUCCCCUUAUGGUAAUUAUGCAGGUGCGGAACCUCCCAAGCGCACGACAGCCUCAUCCGUCCAAGUUGAGCACUGGGCGAUGUCCGAGUUGAGCAAUGUGCCCCGUCCAAGUUCCCAUCCAAUGUUGAACAUUCAAUUUUGUCAUGUUGAAUACUAUACCGCUGAGUGCUAUUGACAGUCAGUUAUUCUUCCUUCCAUGCUGCACCUGGAGAGCUUAAUCUCCCAUUGGCAAAUUUAAUCUGUACCAGUAAGUACAUGAUUAAUAUUUUAGGAUAUGUGUGGUUCCAGUAAGUACAUGAGUACUAUUUAGCAUGUUUGGUUGCUUCCGAAACUGAAAAUGUCAGCGUGUACUGAUGCAUUUCAAAAUUGUUGUGUGUUUUCAGGGAAAAAUAUUUGUCAGGUUUUUGGUGGCCAAGUGUUAUUGAUAUGGAGAUGAAUAACUAUGCGGAUGCACUCCUGCUGUUUUUGCAUCUCCUUUGCGACGACCUAUUGCGUGCCCAUGAACAAAAGAGCAAAGCCCGCCUGUAGCCUGAGCUAUUCAUCGCCUCGUCUCAAUGGAUCAGAGUUCAUGGAAAAAAAAUGUUUGGCAUCCUGUAGUAGUUAUAGUCCUUAAGUUACAACAGUUCGAUCAUGAAAAAAACAUCAGUACAAAAAGUAUGGAGCUUCUAACGUUGUAGCGAUUUCGUGUGAACACAAGGAUCCUUCCUGGAAGGUAGUUGGUGGGUUAUGUGCACGCUCUACAUACAUCCAUGCUAGCCUAUCCUGCUGUGUGCGUGUGAUGGAAUAACUCGCAUCAGUUCUGACUUGGAUCCGUUCUUGCCUAUAAUGCAUUGAAAAAUCAUUUGUUUGCCUUCGUUAAGGCUUGAGAAGCAUGUAUCUCAUUUAUAAUACGCUUUGGCAUUUGGUCGAUGAUAUUUAUUGCAUCCUUCAUCACUGAUCUUGAGGAGAAGAUUCAUUUGUGCAUUUCUAUAUUCGUUGUGUAAAUCUGUUGAUAUUUAAUGUUUUAGGGAUUUCAGGAGAGUGGAGGCUUGAGAAGCAUGUAUCUCAUUUAUAAUACGCUUUGGCAUUUGGUCGAUGAUAUUUAUUGCAUCCUUCAUCACUGAUCUUGAGGAGAAGAUUCAUUUGUGCAUUUCUAUAUUCGUUGUGUAAAUCUGUUGAUAUUUAAUGUUUUAGGGAUUUCAGGAGAGUGGAGACCUGGAAGAGCACUUUCAGGCGUUAUUGGCCAUGACAAUAAAUGACCAAAAAGAGCACUUUCAAUAGUCCAGGAAGACAACAACAACGAGAAAAAUGCAAUGAUGCAUCAUGCUGAUAUUGAUGAAAAGCUAUGAUUUUGUGCUCCUGUUUGUUAUUAUGUCAAUGAGAAACCAAUAGUUCUUUUCUUCAGGAUUCGUGUUUUAAUUGGUGAGGGAUAAACAAAUUUUCCUAUUCAAGUGGAAGCUCCCAGUAUAUGAUGGAUGUGGGAGUUAUUUUUA
Molecule: long non-coding RNA, 3795 nt
Organism: Triticum dicoccoides
Lineage: Eukaryota; Viridiplantae; Streptophyta; Magnoliopsida; Poales; Poaceae
Exons: 6
Source: RefSeq, a predicted model, not a curated record